RNAcentral lists this ribosomal RNA (707 nucleotides) under Paracomesoma paralongispiculum. Its description in RNAcentral is "SSU rRNA". It matches the Rfam family "Eukaryotic small subunit ribosomal RNA", at positions 221 to 932 of the family's 1831-position model. Lineage: Eukaryota; Metazoa; Nematoda; Chromadorea; Araeolaimida; Comesomatidae. The record is from RNAcentral.
AUCGGACUUCGUGUCCGUGCUGUUGGUGACUCUGAAUAACUACGCAGAUCGCACGGUCCCGCACCGGCGACGCAUCUUUCAAGUGUCUGGCUUAUCACGGUGUUUAUAGGGUAUUCGCCUAUAAAACGGUUGACGGGUAACGGAGAAUCAGGGUUCGACUCCGGAGAGGGAGCCUUAAAAAUGGCUACCACAUCUAAGGAAGGCAGCAGGCGCGCAAAUUACCCAAUCCCAGCAAAGGGGAGGUAGUGACGAAAAAUAACGAGACGGAUCUCUUUGAGGCCCGUUAUUGGAAUGAGAACAAUUUAAAUCCUUUAACGAGGAUCUAGCGGAGGGCAAGUCUGGUGCCAGCAGCCGCGGUAAUUCCAGCUCCGCAGGUGUAUAUCUAUGCUGCUGCGGUUAAAAAGCUCGUAGUUGGAUCUGCGUGCUCGGAAUCGGUUGGCUCACUGAGCCCAAACUGAUCUCCGGCGCUUUAUUUGCUGGUUUUCCCUUGAUUCCUUUAACCGGGUGUCUUGGGUGGCUAGCGCGUUUACUUUGAAAAAAUUAGAGUGCUCAACACAGGCGCAAAGCCUUGAAUAGUGGUGCAUGGAAUAAUAGAAUAGGACCUCCGUUCUAUUUUGUUGGUUUUCGGAAUGCGAGGUAAUGAUUAAGAGGGACAGACGGGGGCAUUCGUAUUGCGACGUUAGAGGUGAAAUUCUUGGAUCGUCGCA